RNAcentral lists this ribosomal RNA (437 nucleotides) under uncultured bacterium. RNAcentral describes it as "partial 16S ribosomal RNA". It matches the Rfam family "Bacterial small subunit ribosomal RNA", at positions 28 to 507 of the family's 1533-position model. The record is from RNAcentral.
AGCGAACGCUGGCGGCAUGCUUAACACAUGCAAGCCGCGCGGGUGGUUUCGGCCAUCAGCGGCGGACGGGUGAGUAUCGCGUAGGAAUGUAUCCCGAGGUGGGGGACAACCCUGGGAAACUGGGGCUAAUACCGCAUGGGGCCUGUGGGUCAAAGCCUUAGGGCGCCUUGGGAGCAGCCUGCGUCCGAUUAGGUAGUUGGUGGGGUAAAGGCCUACCAAGCCUGCGAUCGGUAGCUGGUCUGAGAGGACGAUCAGCCACACUGGGACUGAGACACGGCCCAGACUCCUACGGGAGGCAGCAGUGGGGAAUAUUGGACAAUGGGCGCAAGCCUGAUCCAGCAAUGCCGCGUGGGUGAAGAAGGUCUUCGGAUUGUAAAGCCCUUUCGGCGGGGACGAUGAUGACGGUACCCGCAGAAGAAGCCCCGGCUAACUUCGUG